GACGAACGCUGGCGGCGUGCCUAAUACAUGCAAGUUGAGCGCUGAAGGUUGGUACUUGUACCAACUGGAUGAGCAGCGAACGGGUGAGUAACGCGUGGGGAAUCUGCCUUUGAGCGGGGGACAACAUUUGGAAACGAAUGCUAAUACCGCAUAAAAACUUUAAACACAAGGUUUAAGUUUGAAAGAUGCAAUUGCAUCACUCAAAGAUGAUCCCGCGUUGUAUUAGCUAGUUGGUGAGGUAAAGGCUCACCAAGGCGAUGAUACAUAGCCGACCUGAGAGGGUGGUCGGCCACAUUGGGACUGAGACACGGCCCAAACUCCUACGGGAGGCAGCAGUAGGGAAUCGUCGGCAAGGGACGAAAGUCUGACCGAGAAACGCCGCGUGAGUGAAGAAGGUUUUCGGAUCGUAAAACUCGGUUGGUAGAGAAGAACGUUGGUGAGAGUGGAAAGAUCAUCAAGUGACGGUAACUACCCAGAAAGGGACGGCUAACUACGUG
This 497-nucleotide ribosomal RNA is filed under the name uncultured bacterium. RNAcentral's name for it is "partial 16S ribosomal RNA". It matches the Rfam family "Bacterial small subunit ribosomal RNA", at positions 28 to 507 of the family's 1533-position model. The record is from RNAcentral.